RNAcentral lists this ribosomal RNA (396 nucleotides) under uncultured bacterium. RNAcentral's name for it is "partial 16S ribosomal RNA". It matches the Rfam family "Bacterial small subunit ribosomal RNA", at positions 523 to 918 of the family's 1533-position model. The record is from RNAcentral.
AUACGUAGGUGGCAAGCGUUGUCCGGAAUUACUGGGUGUAAAGGGAGCGCAGGCGGGGGAGCAAGUCAGCUGUGAAAUGCAUGGGCUUAACCGAUGAACUGCAGUUGAAACUGUUCUUCUUGAGUGAAGUAGAGGUUGGCGGAAUUCCGAGUGUAGCGGUGAAAUGCGUAGAUAUUCGGAGGAACACCGGUGGCGAAGGCGGCUAACUGGGCUUUUACUGACGCUGAGGCUCGAAAGUGUGGGGAGCAAACAGGAUUAGAUACCCUGGUAGUCCACACUGUAAACGAUGAUUGCUAGGUGUGGGGGGUCUGACCCCUUCUGUGCCGCAGCUAACGCAAUAAGCAAUCCACCUGGGGAGUACGGCCGCAAGGCUGAAACUCAAAGGAAUUGACGGGG